GUGGAUGUGGUGGAGUGGUUAUCGGGCAUGACUAGAAAUCUUGUGGGUUCUGCCUGUGCAAGUUCGAAACUUGCCAUUCACA
Molecule: transfer RNA, 82 nt
Filed under: Sphenostylis stenocarpa
Lineage: Eukaryota; Viridiplantae; Streptophyta; Magnoliopsida; Fabales; Fabaceae
Description: tRNA gene-AYBTSS11_LOCUS24149
Rfam family: tRNA
About the family: Transfer RNA (tRNA) molecules are approximately 80 nucleotides in length. Their secondary structure includes four short double-helical elements and three loops (D, anti-codon, and T loops).
Source: RNAcentral